ACUCAAAUGAAUUGACGGGACCCCGCACAAGCGGUGGAGCAUGUGGAUUAAUUCGAUACUAACCGAAGAACCUUACCCAGGUUUGACAUCGCGGGUAAGCCUAUGAAAGUAGGCCCUCUACCCACAAGGUAGACCCAAAGACCCCUGUUGCAUGGCUGUCGUCAGCUCGUGCCGUGAGGUGUUUGGUUAAGUCCAUCAACGAGCGCAACCCUCGUCUCAUGUUGCCAGCGGGUAAUGCCGGGAACUCAUGAGAGACCGCCGUCGUAAGCCGGAGGAAGGUGGGGAUGAUGUCAAGUCAGCAUGGCGGUUAUGCCUGGGGCUUCACACAUGCUACAAUGGACACAACAAACGGCUGCAAUACCGCGAGGUGGAGCAAAUCCGAAAAAUAUGUCCUCAGUUCAGAUAGCACUCUGCAACUCGAGUGCUUGAAGGCGGAAUCGCUAGUAAACGCAGGUCAGCUAUACUGCGUUGAAUACGUUCCCGGGGUUUGUACACACCGCCCGU
Molecule: ribosomal RNA, 504 nt
Filed under: uncultured bacterium
Lineage: Bacteria
Description: partial 16S ribosomal RNA
Rfam family: Bacterial small subunit ribosomal RNA
Source: RNAcentral